RNAcentral lists this long non-coding RNA (4851 nucleotides) under Mus caroli (Ryukyu mouse). RNAcentral describes it as "lncRNA (MGP_CAROLIEiJ_G0034498.1)". The record is from RNAcentral. Lineage: Eukaryota; Metazoa; Chordata; Mammalia; Rodentia; Muridae.
AGAAGCAGAGCGGUAGGGACCCUGGCAAUUGGAAGGCCGAAGCGCGGGACUGAGGGUCGGGAGGCGUGGGACACUUGGGGGCUAGGAGCGAGGCCCUCGCGGAUCACCGCGUGGGGCAGCUGUGCUGGGAGCUAAUGACCAGACUCAGAUCAGGGGCUCGGGGCCGGGGAGCUAGGCCCCAGGAUUGAUAGGACGUUCACCACAGCUCUGCACUCCUAAACCGGCUCUCUUUGAAACGAGGGACCUUUUAUUAAUCUGCCUUUUACCUUCCUCAACUUAGUCCAGUGGCUGUUUGUAGCUGCAGGAUGUUUUGUUAUCUUUUAGUGACGGAGUCUGUAACAGUCAACUGGUUUUGAACUCAAAAUCCUCCAGCCCUUGCCUCUGAAGAGGUGGAAGUGCAGUACAGGCCAGCACCAGAACACUCUAGAUUGGAUUGAUUGUCUAUCAAUCUUCCUUUCUCAAAAGUUAGUAGGUUGAUUGGUUGGGUGGGUUUUGUUUUUUUUUUUUUUUUAAGGUUUAUAUAUUUUAUAUAUGUGAGUACAUCGGUGCUGUCUUCAGACACACCAGAAGAGGGCGUCAGAUCCCAUUACAGAUGGUUGUGAGCCACCAUGUGGUUGCUGGGAGUUGAACUCAGGACCUCUGGUAGAGCAGUCAGUGCUCUUAACUGCUGAGCCAUCUCUCCAGCUAAUUGGUUGGUUUUUGAGACAUCAUCUCUUGUAGUCAACCCAGACUGGCCAAGAACUUGUCCUGUGCCAUCCUUAAACUGCUGUUCCUUCUACCUCCACCUUUCAGGUACUGGUAUUUGGGGGAUUAGACACCUGGCUUCUUCACCAUCACCACUCCCAAACAGGAUUUCAUGUCACCCACAGUGGCCUUGUACUUGUUAUGAAUGAAUUUGGGCUCCAGUUCUUUCUGUCUCCACCUCCUCUCUGUUGGGGUUAUAUGCAUGUGUUGUCACACCAGGCUCAGACCGCAUUGGUGUUUUAAGUAAAAUCCUGGUUGGUUUGCCUGAUUUGAGUUCACUGGCCUAUCCCUUAUGAUAUUAUCAUUUAGUAACACACUUAGCACAAAUGUACUUGUAAUAUCUGGUUAGAUUUGCCUGUUGGUUCAAGUGGAUAUCACCCAGCAAACCUGUCCUCGUCACAGGCAUUUACCCUGUGACAUAUACUCCAUCCACAAAAAUCAGUGUUUUCUGGCAUACCAUCUACCAGGUGUCCCAUUCAGAAACUUUAAAACUAACUCCUUGACUUUGCCCUCUACCUUACCAUAAAUCAAUUGCUAGGUCUUCAGUAUUUGUACUACCAAUUCAUGCUCUGGUUUUUCUAUUAUUGAUACAUGCACUAGAUAUCUAUUGGUCUGUUACUACUACUUUCAGUUCAUUAUUCUCAUAACAGAGUCAUUAACCAAGAAUUACAGGGGCCAAUAAUGGUUAAUGAAACAAAGGGAAACUUGAUGAAGUCAAUCAUCAAAAAUGACGAUUGAGACUAAGAGAGAGCCAACUCCACAGAAUUGUCCACUGACCAUCACACUUCUGUCUUGACACACAGUUGUCAAGAGAACUGAUUCCCAAAUGUCCUCCAACCUCUGUAUUCAUGCCAGGACACAUACUUGCAUGGACAUAAACAAAUGUGAUUAAAAAGCAGCCUGACAUGUGCUGAGAAUGUAAGUUUGGGACACUGUGAAAGUCAGGACUUAGGAAAUUUGGAUGCAGAUUCAGAAAAAUAUCAGAUAUUCUUAACUAUGAUUCUGAUAGUUUCAAAACUGAAAACUAGUGCUAUGGGCUUCUAUAAAGAGACACUAAUGACCGACCUUCAGAACAGUUAUUUCCCUUGCAUAUUCUAAAACUGGUGGACUAGUUAUGUGAUCUUAAGGAAAAUCUUUUUAUAUUUCUAAGCCCCAGUUUCCUCAGUUUUAACAUGAAUGGAACAAAAGAAUCUUUUAAGAUCCAGCCCAGUUCUAAAAUUGAUUCUACACCAUAUAACAUGAAUUAUGAGAUCAAAUGUAGCAUAAAAAAAGAACAUGAAAAUACAUUGAGCUAGACAUACUUUGAUUUUCCUCUAGGGUAUGCACGCCUCCCUUGUCAUCCAAAAAGUUCCUUGAAAACAGCUAAGUUUUUCUUGUCUGCUAUGUUCUCAGAACUAAGUUCAUAUUGGAACUCUAUAUUUAUUAAUUUGAGUAAAUUGGCAAGAGAUAAAUAUAUAGUAUCUUUUUCUCUGAGAUUAAUUUACUUUUAUUUAUGUAUAUGUGUGGAUGACUGUGGAGGCCAGAAAAGGGUGUCAGAUCUCCUGGAGUUAGAGUUACCUGAUGUGGGUGUGGGGAUCAAAUUGGGGACCCCUAUAAGACCAGAUGCAAAUGUUUGUGCAGGAUUCUGUGGUUGCUGUGGGGGUGCUGGAGCUUGGGACCUUAAGACACAGGCUUGGGAUCCUACUAUUAAGCUACACUUCCAGAUGCAAAUUGUAAUACCAGUAGAAAAAUAAAAAUCCACCUCUAAUCUCUUUACCAGUUUGUAUUUGCUACUGGCAGUGAGAUUUCCAUACUAGUCUCUUCUCUCUCUUAAUUUUUUUUUAAUCUAGGUUUUUAGGGGGAGCACAUAUCAGUUUUAUUGCAGAGUGGGUUCUGUAUUGAUGAGUAUGUUUUUAACCUUACUUAGAACAAAAAUUAUUUUUUGAAGUUGAAGACAUUUUAAUUUUAUAUGUGCACACACCUAUAUGCAUGUUCAUAUGUUCAUGGGCGCAUAUGUAUGUGUAGAUGCUAGAGCUUGUGAAAGCCUAAAGUUGACACUCAAGUGUCUUCCUCAAUUUCUGUUUUAUUUAUUGAGACAGGUUCCCUCAUUAAAACCACCAAUUCUGGUCUAGUCUAGUUAGCCAGUUAACCCUAGGGAUCCAGUCUUUGCCUCUGAGGCAUAGGAUUGAAAAUAGCCACCACUUGAGAUCACAUGGGUUCUGGGAAUCCAGACUCUGAUCCUUGGGCUUAUAGCAUUUCCCCAACCCAGUAUUUUUAUUAUUAUCUGGGUUGAAUUUUUAUACCUGGAUGCAAAUUAUAACAAACUAUAUUUACUCAUUCUUAAGCAGUUUUCAUUAAAAACUACAUUUUGGCCUGGUAUAGUGGUUUAUAUACAUGCCUAUAAUUCCAGCACCUGGAGGCAGAGGCAUAUGGAUCUCUUGAGUUUUAGGGCAACCUGGUUUACAUAGUGAAUUCCAGACCAGCCAAGACUAUAUAGUGAGACCCCUGUCUCAAAAUAUGCACACACACUAUGUUUGAGUUUAGUUUUAAGGCGGAGCCUCCCUGUGUAGCCCUGACUGAUAUUCAACUGGCAGUCAUUCUGGCUCAGACUCCCAAGUGUUAGGAUUGUAGGAGUAUGUCACCUUGCCUGGACACAUUAUAUUUUGUACUACUAUAUCAUAAUACCUAGAAUGACAUUGUUUAAUUUUUAUCAUCUAUAAUGUUUUCUGCAAGUGGUUAUUAAUUUUUUGUUUUUUGUUUUUCCAGACAGGGUUUCUCUGUGUAGCCCUGGUUGUCCUGGAACUCACUUUGUAGACCAGGCUGGCCUCAAACCCAGAAAUCCACCUGCCUCUGCCUCUGCCUCCCGAGUGUUGGGAUUAAAGGUGUGCACCACCACGCCCAGAUGGUUAUUAAUUUUUGAAUUGAAAUGGAUCAAAAUAAAGGAUUAUAUACUAUUACCCUGAAAGUUUAAGUAAAAGGAAAGUUAAGAAUCUUCUGAAAUCACUUAAGACUUUUCAUGAGCAAAUAACAACUCAACUUUAGGUGAUAGGUUAAACUUUUCAGGUAGAUGUGUACCUUUGUAAGAAUGAGGUUAUUAUUUCCUACCUUAAAGGUUAUAUUAAUAUUGAAUAAUGUAUAUAAAGUGACUGAGACAGUAGAUCCUCAGCACAUUUAUUUUUUAAUCUUUGUGUUCCUAGUACCACAGUAGUAUCUAGCACAUGGCAGUGCUUAAUGUGCUUAAACUGCACUAGUAAAGCUAGUAGCUUAGAGAAAGCAGGAUAGCAGACAAAUACUAUAGAUGGAGUAGUGUGACCUACAUCAGUCAAUACUAGGAACCCCUGAGGCUUCAGAGAGGUAAUAUUAAAGAUGAGACUUGAAAGGAUAGAACUUUGAUAGGGACACUGGUGAGGCUAAAAAGACACAGGUGCGUGUCAGAGAGAUAUAUGGAAGUAGAUCCUAUUUUCAUAGCAAAUACAGAGUAAGAAUAUGAGGCUAUGAAGAUGUCAAACAAAGAUCAGACCACAACCUAUCUUUCAUUUCAUUAAGGAAUUUACACUUAAGCACAUUAAAAUUUUUUAAAAAUUGUAUUCAUUCAAAAAAUGUUGGUUGGUUAUUGUAUGCUAAGCACUGAAGAAGGAAAGAAAAUGUGUACCCUUGAGGGAUUUACAUUAUUAUGUAGAGAUGAGAAAUAAUCUUGCAAGUUAUCAAAUAAUUUUUAAUCAUAGCAAUAUGGAAAACUACUGGAAUGUUUUGAGAGGAAACAUUUCUUGAAGCUUUCUAGCUUUGAGGAUAAGCUGAAAGGAUGAUGGCAAAUGUGGUGAUAUUGUUAAGCAAUUGUAUUACUAUAAAUAUAAUUCUACACAUACCAUGGUGCUGAGAAUUGAACUAUGCCUUGAACAUUUGAGGGAAGUACCACUGAGUGACAUCCCAGCCUCAUACAGUGUUAUAGAACAGAAGACUAAAAUGUGGUCAGAGUGAAUAAAUGUUACUGACAGCUGAGUGUAGUGGCAGAAAACCUAUCCACUUAGGAUGCUGGGAUAGGAGGAUCACAAACCCAUCCUGAGCUACCUAGUUCUAUGCCAACUACCUAGCAAGACACUGCAGAAGGAAGGAAGGAAGGAAGGAAGG